This 357-nucleotide long non-coding RNA is filed under the name Hordeum vulgare. RNAcentral describes it as "long non-coding RNA (HVUL_LNC019879)". Lineage: Eukaryota; Viridiplantae; Streptophyta; Magnoliopsida; Poales; Poaceae. The record is from RNAcentral.
CGGGAACUCGCCGGAGAAGCGGUUGUUGUAGAGCAUGAUGUUGUUCAGCCGGACGCAGUCGCCGAGGUUCUUCGGGAGCUCGCCGGAGAAGCUGUUGUUGAAGACGACGAUGUCGUAGAGACUCCCGUUGGCGCAGAGUGACUCCGGGAGCCGGCCAGAGAGGUUAUUGUUGCAGACCUCGAGGUUGCCGAGCGGCGAGUGCUUCCCGAGCUCCUGCGGGAGCUCGCCGGAGAGCUUGUUUUCAAAUAGCCGGAUGUCCCUGAGUUUGGGGAGCGUCGCCAUGCUUGCCGGAAUGGUGCCGGUGAGCUGGUUGGUGUACAUGAACAAUAUGAUCAGGUUCUUGAGGUUACCAAUGUC